This 467-nucleotide ribosomal RNA is filed under the name uncultured bacterium. RNAcentral describes it as "partial 16S ribosomal RNA". It matches the Rfam family "Bacterial small subunit ribosomal RNA", at positions 28 to 506 of the family's 1533-position model. The record is from RNAcentral.
GACGAACGCUGGCGGCGUGCUUAACACAUGCAAGUCGAACGGAAAGGCCCUGCUUUUGUUGGGUGCUCGAGUGGCGAACGGGUGAGUAACACGUGAGUAACCUGCCCUUGCCUUUGGGAUAACUUCAAGAAACUGGGGCUAAUACCGGAUUGUAGCUCCAGCGCCAUGGUGGGGGUUGGAAAGUUUCGGCGGUGUGGGAGGGACUUGCGGCUUAUCAGCUAGUUGGUGGGGUAGUGGCUUACCAAGGCUUUGACGGGUAGCCGGCCUGAGAGGGUGACCGGCCACAUUGGGACUGAGAUACGGCCCAGACUCCUACGGGAGGCAGCAGUGGGGAAUAUUGCACAAUGGGCGGAAGGCUGAUGCAGGAACGCCGCGUGCGGGAUGACGGCCUUCGGGUUGUAAACCUCUUUCGCCUGUGACGAAGCGUGAGUGACGGUAAUGGGUAAAGAAGCACCGGCUAACUACGU